ACCUAGAUGCGCAUCGGUGGUCCAGUGUGCAGGCUUCAAACCCGUAGCUAACCGAGUCAGAGUUAAUCAAUUCCACCUUCUAGGCG
This is a non-coding RNA of Argiope bruennichi, 86 nucleotides long. The record is from the annotation of a RefSeq genome assembly. NCBI's taxonomy places the organism in Eukaryota, Metazoa, Arthropoda, Arachnida, Araneae, Araneidae.